This 468-nucleotide ribosomal RNA is filed under the name uncultured bacterium. RNAcentral's name for it is "partial 16S ribosomal RNA". It matches the Rfam family "Bacterial small subunit ribosomal RNA", at positions 28 to 507 of the family's 1533-position model. The record is from RNAcentral.
GAUGAACGCUGGCGGCGUGCUUAACACAUGCAAGUCGAACGGAAAGGCCCAAGCUUGCUUGGGUACUCGAGUGGCGAACGGGUGAGUAACACGUGGGUGAUCUGCCCUGCACUUCGGGAUAAGCCUGGGAAACUGGGUCUAAUACCGGAUAGGACGAUGGUUUGGAUGCCAUUGUGGAAAGUUUUUUCGGUGUGGGAUGAGCUCGCGGCCUAUCAGCUUGUUGGUGGGGUAAUGGCCUACCAAGGCGUCGACGGGUAGCCGGCCUGAGAGGGUGUACGGCCACAUUGGGACUGAGAUACGGCCCAGACUCCUACGGGAGGCAGCAGUGGGGAAUAUUGCACAAUGGGCGCAAGCCUGAGGCAGCGACGCCGCGUGGGGGAUGACGGCCUUAGGGUUGUAAACUCCUUUCGCUAGGGACGAAGCGUUUUUGUGACGGUACCUGGAGAAGAAGCACCGGCUAACUACGUG